RNAcentral lists this ribosomal RNA (420 nucleotides) under uncultured bacterium. Its description in RNAcentral is "bacterial SSU rRNA". It matches the Rfam family "Bacterial small subunit ribosomal RNA", at positions 355 to 775 of the family's 1533-position model. The record is from RNAcentral.
UGGGGAAUCUUGCGCAAUGGCCUAACGGCUGACGCAGCGACGCCGCGUGUGGGACGACGCCCUUCGGGGUGUAAACCACUGUUGCCCGGGACGAACAUCCUCUUGCGAGAGGACUGACGGUACCGGGUGAGGAAGCACCGGCUAACUCCGUGCCAGCAGCCGCGGUAAUACGGAGGGUGCGAGCGUUGUCCGGAAUCACUGGGCGUAAAGGGCGCGUAGGCGGCCGAGCAAGGUCGUGGUGAAAGCCCGGGGCUCAACCCCGGGUCGGCCAGGGCAACUACUCGGCUGGAGCACGGUAGAGGCGGGUGGAAUUCCGGGUGUAGCGGUGGAAUGCGUAGAGAUCCGGAAGAACACCGGUGGCGAAGGCGGCCCGCUGGGCCGUGGCUGACGCUGAGGCGCGACAGCGUGGGGAGCAAACAG